AGAGUUUGAUCCUGGCUCAGGAUGAACGCUAGCUACAGGCUUAACACAUGCAAGUCGAGGGGAAACGAUAGAGAAAGCUUGCUUUUUCUAGGCGUCGACCGGCGCACGGGUGAGUAACGCGUAUCCAACCUGCCCACCACUUGGGGAUAACCUUGCGAAAGUAAGACUAAUACCCAAUGACGUCUCUAGAAGACAUCUGAAAGGGAUUAAAGAUUUAUCGGUGAUGGAUGGGGAUGCGUCUGAUUAGCUUGUUGGCGGGGUAACGGCCCACCAAGGCAACGAUCAGUAGGGGUUCUGAGAGGAAGGUCCCCCACAUUGGAACUGAGACACGGUCCAAACUCCUACGGGAGGCAGCAGUGAGGAAUAUUGGUCAAUGGGCGAGAGCCUGAACCAGCCAAGUAGCGUGCAGGAUGACGGCCCUAUGGGUUGUAAACUGCUUUUAUAAGGGAAUAAAGUGAGCCUCGUGAGGCUUUUUGCAUGUACCUUAUGAAUAAGGACCGGCUAAUUCCGUGCCAGCAGCCGCGGUAAUACGGAAGGUCCGGGCGUUAUCCGGAUUUAUUGGGUUUAAAGGGAGCGUAGGCCGGAGAUUAAGCGUGUUGUGAAAUGUAGAUGCUCAACAUCUGCACUGCAGCGCGAACUGGUUUCCUUGAGUACGCACAAAGUGGGCGGAAUUCGUGGUGUAGCGGUGAAAUGCUUAGAUAUCACGAAGAACUCCGAUUGCGAAGGCAGCUCACUGGAGCGCAACUGACGCUGAAGCUCGAAAGUGCGGGUAUCGAACAGGAUUAGAUACCCUGGUAGUCCGCACGGUAAACGAUGGAUGCCCGCUGUUGGUCUGAAUAGGUCAGCGGCCAAGCGAAAGCAUUAAGCAUCCCACCUGGGGAG
This 882-nucleotide ribosomal RNA is filed under the name uncultured bacterium. Its description in RNAcentral is "bacterial SSU rRNA". It matches the Rfam family "Bacterial small subunit ribosomal RNA", at positions 8 to 880 of the family's 1533-position model. The record is from RNAcentral.